AGAUUAUCCAGGAGAUACACGAAUUAAUUCUGGCGGGUGAAAUGGAAGUCGCCAAAAGGAUGCUGCGCACGCUGAUUAAAGUCACGUUCGCUUAUCCUGCGAUUUUUGACGAGGUUCGGCAGGAAUGCCAAAUCAACAAUGCGCAUGUUGUCGCCGGAUGUGGAUCCGGGUAUCAAAGCGUUUAUAGCCGUUGUCAGAGCUGCAGAACAUCAGUCAGAAAAAGCAGCGGACCAGGGUAAAACCCACUGAGCCAAAAACCUGCGCGACGAACCGGUCACAGUGGCCGGUUUUUUU
Non-coding RNA from Salmonella enterica subsp. enterica serovar Enteritidis, 294 nucleotides. The record is from Rfam. Lineage: Bacteria; Pseudomonadati; Pseudomonadota; Gammaproteobacteria; Enterobacterales; Enterobacteriaceae.